This is a long non-coding RNA of Phasianus colchicus (ring-necked pheasant), 585 nucleotides long. The record is from Ensembl. NCBI's taxonomy places the organism in Eukaryota, Metazoa, Chordata, Aves, Galliformes, Phasianidae.
UUGAGCACCUGGUGAAAGCAGCUGGGAGCACAGGUGAAGGCAAUUCAGCUGCGUGACUGGAAGGAGUGGAGCCUGGCUGCAUCUUCCUUAGACCUCAUAUAAGGGCUGACUGCCUCUGGGGAAAGAUCUCUGGUUGGAGAUCCCUCCUUGGUGGAGCUUUCCCCUGCAAACCUGGAAUCUUCUGGUACAGGUUGGCCAGUACCUGUUGAAGCAACCUCUGCUGCCUCAGUUAAUCCCUGCCACAGUUGCAGCAGAUGGAAGCUCCUGCAGAAGGUGACUUGAAGGGACUCUGUUGACAUUCAGGCCUAGACCCUUGAAGUGCUUGGUGGUGUACUGAGGAAAGUUCUUGGAUCCCAAAGCAAGAAGCAAAGCCACAUGGUGUGUGGGAUGUACUCCCUCUGUCGUUCCAGUGGUGUUGCUCCCAGGAGCCUGAUGUGAUAGAGACCCUCCUUGUCUGUGGGGUUGUCCUUUCUACCAGCGUGGGUGUUAGAGCAGUGCAAGUGCAUAUACAUGUUGCUGAUGACUGGCGUCAGAUGUGAACCCUUAUGGCUAAGUGUGCAAUCGCAGCAAUUGAGUGGGUUCUGC